Molecule: long non-coding RNA, 4287 nt
Filed under: Homo sapiens (human)
Lineage: Eukaryota; Metazoa; Chordata; Mammalia; Primates; Hominidae
Description: HSALNT0328660
Source: RNAcentral
AAAGACUUCAGCAGGUAAAUACAAAGUAAUUUUCCUAGCUGGUAAAAUUCAUCCCCUAGGAAGAUUAACUAGUGUAAAUGUCAAUAUUGCAUGGUUCAUUUAUUGAAAGCCAAACUAUUUGAGUGACUUUGGAUGUGUUAUUACAGUUAAUGAUUCUUAUUAAAAACAACAAAAGAAUGCAUCAAUCAGGAGGUAUAAGGAAAGGAAAAAUAACUUUGAAACAUUGGUUUUCUUCAUAAAUUCAGAUUUGUUGAAAUCUGAGGAGUCUUAUGCUAACAUCAUCUUGGUUAUCUAUUUCUUUGUAACACACUACCCUAAAAGCACCUGGUUUAACCAUUUCAUUUCACUAAUAACGUUAUGUGUCAUAAACUUGCAAUGAACUUGGUUCUUAGGCUGGAUGCUUAGCCUCUGAUGAAAGUAGCUUCAGUUGGGGUGUCUAACAGAGGAUCUACUGGCCAGUCUGUCUCCUCCAUGGUCUUGGUCUUUGUAUUUCAUUUUCUGCAAAGCAAAUCAUCCAAUCAUCCGCUUAGGCUCUUCUUGUGGUUUAGGCUUCUCAGAGUUUGGCAACCUCAGGAUAUUUGAACUUCUUACAAGGUGGAUCAUGGUCCCCAGACAUCCAGGUGAAAUCUGCCAAUCCUUUGAAUUCCUAAAUGCAGAGAUGGCAUCAUGUCCCUUCUAUCACAUUCUAUUUGUCAAAGCAGUCCCAAUUUAGCACAGAUUCAAGGGGAGGAGAAAAAAAAUAGACCCCUACCUCUUUGUGACAAUAAAAUCAAGUGAUUUGUGGCUAUCUUUAAUUUUAAUAUGUAUUUGUUAAAAGGACACUCUUGAAAUAUUCUUUUACUUCCUAGUUUUGCUUGCUCUAUUUCAAACCAGUGCUGCAUUAGUUAACAUGUGGCUCACCAUACACUUUCUAAUGAGAAAGCUUCAAAAAGCUCAAUCCCCAAAUGCCAGUACAAACACUAGCCUGGCAAAAAGUCACCUGAAUUCCUCCCUCUAAUAUACAGAACCCAAGCUGCAUGGACUUGUUCUCCGAACACAGAAAACAUUAUAGUAAACAAGGGAUUUGAGUUUAGAUAUUUACCCAGCUUCUCUGCACCCUGAGCUCUUUUUUUUUUUUUUUUUUUUUUUUUUUGCCUCAAUCCUCUGCCAGGAGAUCCGGCUGCUUUUCUCACACUUUGGCUCCUCACCUCCCCUAAGCUAAUAUGCACUCCCUAGCAAAUUAUAAGCAUUCAGAACUGGAGCAGAGACUGUGGCUUGAGGGUAAAAUUAACUCUACCAGCUGAAUAGUUUCCCCUCUUCAUCAAAAUGUGCAGUUGGAGGCUUUAAAAAAUGUCUAUGUGCAUAAACUUUGUUAUUAGUUGAAAGCGGAAAUAAAUGCUAGAUAAAAAGUUUUCACAUAUGAGAGGCCUGAAACAUUCUAUACUUUUAUGCACCACUUAGUGUGUAGUCAUUUCCUGCUUUGUUCUUUUGUUGCACUAUUUAAAAUGCUUUAUCUCUCAUUUUUUAGUUCAUACAUGUUGGAAAUACUUACUGAAGGUUAUUAUGAACUAUGAUGUUCUUUUAUUGUUGAAGUAUUCCCUACUUUAGAGUUAAUGGGUUUCAUUCAAGGUCCAUGAUCCACCUAAGAUUAAUAGAAAUAAACAUAGUGGUUCAGAGGAUGGAUUUUAGAGGCAAACUAACUUGAAUUUAGAUACUUACACUUUGCUAGCUACGUGACUUUAGGCAAGUCCUUUUGACUUUCUGAAUCUCUGCUUCUUCCCCAGAAAAAAAAAAUAGGGAUAAAAGCAAAAUUGUGUACCUUUUAGGUUUUAUAUAAAAGCAAUAAAAUAUUGCAUGAAGAGAAUUUAGAGCACAGCCAAGUUUAUAAAUACAUUUAAUAAACAUUAGCUAUCAUCAUAAUAAAUAUGGUCUAAAAUCAAAACAGGAGGAGAGAACUAAGAAAAAGAUCAUUUUAAUUGUAUCAAGAAUGAAUAGAAUUGUAAUGCUGGAUAACCUCUAAAAGUUUUUUCUAAAGUAGAUAUUUAUAUGAUUGCAUUCUGAAACAAAGUUCUAACCUCUCUUCUACAUUUUAACCUGUGGUAAUCAUGCUUAAAACUUUAAAUAUGUCUUAAAUUAGCUCAUUUUAGGAGGCAUAAAGAUGAUGACCUAUAAACUAUUGAGUAGGAUUGAAAGUUGUAGAGCAUUCAAAACACUGUAAUGGUUUCCAGUACACCCAUUCCAAAGGUCACAAAUUCCCCAAUCUCUGGCUGUCUUUAAACUAACUUGUACUGAAAGCAACUGAUUCUUAUAAUGACUUGUCACAACUCUCAGUGAGAAACCAUCAAGUGAGAAUUAAAAGAAACAAAUUUCUUGCUGACUAAUUUAUUCAUAGAUAUUUCGAACUUAGAAGGACCAUAUAGAAUUAGAUAAUGUAAUACAACCACCACUUUAUAAAAGGGGGAGUAAAAACCUAAGAAGCUAAUUUGUUUGCCGAAUAUGACAAAGGAAAUACGUAGCAGAAAUAGCUUUAAUACUAGUUUUCUAAGCUAGUUUUCUACCCUUUCCAUAGUAAAACUUACAGUGUAUUAUUUUUAUAAAAUUGACUGUUCCAUAUGAACAGGAAGACAAUGUGGCAUUACAAGAAUAAAAUAAGUGCUAUUAUCUGCUAUUUUGGACAGUUCUUUAUUGUAGCUCUUAUGAUAGUAUGCACCUUUGCAUGUAAACAUACUUCAGCAGCUGGAACCCAGAAGCAAUGCUUCACAUGGAAGCACUUUACAUUUGGUCUCCUUGCUUUAUGUCUCAGUCUGCUUUUAUCAAUCAAAAGACAAAAAUAAUUUAUAAGAGAAAAGACACUGCAUUAACAUCAAAAUGCCGAUUCUUUGGGAAUGAAAUGGAGAAUAUGUAAAUUUUAAAAAUAUUGAACUAAUAAAAAGAGCUAGGCUAAGACACUCAGUAUCAGGAUGAAAAAUGUCAAAUUCAUAAUUUUUUUGUUGGAGAAGAUAUAUUUAUUUGUGGUUAUUUCAUAAUUUCAUUAUUUGUGGUAACUUUGCAUAUAAAUAUCACUUUAAAAAUAGAUAUAUAUAUAUACUUUUGUUGCUUAGUGAAUUUCAAGGAAGAUAUAAUGUAUAUGCACACAACACAAUUGUAAAGAUAAUUCUAGACUUGAAUUUAUUUUUUUCUAUGACAUUAAGGUUGACUUGAGAUUCUUACUGCAUUUGAGCUUUUAAAACAUUUUUUGAUUGCCUUGUUAGUGGUUCAGAACACUCCAGAGAAACACAAGAAUCAGACUCUUUAGAAUUAUAUCUGUUAUUCUAAUUUCUUGCUGUGAGACCUUGAGCAAGUUAACUAAUUCACCUAAACUUCAGUCUUCUCAUUUCUAAAAUGGGAAUUAUAUGGAAUCUACCCUUAGAAUUGUGGAGAUCAAAUAUGACAGGGUAUGAAAAUGGUUCUCCAUCCUAGAACUCAUCACCACCCCAGUCCUCACAUUGGUUGGCAUUUCUCUUGCAUACUACCAAAUACAAUAGCUGAUACUUCAGACAGAAAAUGAGCUUACAGGCUAAAAUAAAGUUCAUAAAAUGGGGGAGGGAAAAAAGAGCACUGACACUGUAUUGAAACAGUGCUUUUAUCUGACUGUUGUAUUAUGGGUAAUUAUUGUUUUCAUUAUAAUUUUCUGGCAUUUUCUAAGUUUUUGGCCAAAAGCACAAUAGGGCUUCUUAAUUUGUAUUAUCAGAAUAAGUGAGGUAACAUCUUUUUAAAAUAAGAUUUAAUUUCAUCAUCUCAAGGAUUCAUAGAAUUCCAUAUUUGCAAGUAAGUUUUUAUCAAAGCUUUAUAAUCCCCUUUAAAAUUUAUUUUGUUUUGCAUGUUUGAAUAUCAUUUUUUAAAAGUCAAAUAGAUGUCAUGAUAUGUUCAGUAGUCCCCCAAACCACUCUCAGGUUCAAUGAUCUAUUAGAAGAACUCACAGAACUCAGGUUUAUUUCAGUGAAAGUGUACAGAUUAAACACAUAGAGUCCAGGAGAGAAGAGGCGCAUGCUUUCAGUUCUCCUCUCCCGGUGGAGUCACAGGGACAAUGCUUAAUUAAUUCAGUAAGUGUGUGACAAUAUGCAAAAAUAUUGACAACCAGGGAAGCUCAAUCUGAUAACUUGGAACUUUGGGGUCUAGAUUUAUUAUUGGUCAUUGCUCAAUAGACCAAUAAUAUAUACUUAUACUGAUACAUACUUACGUCAUUUGAAAAAGCCAUAUACCUAAUAUCAUUGGGGUGUCUAUGUGUGUGUGUGUGUGUGUAUACACACAUGCACUGGUGUAUAACUG